Unclassified non-coding RNA from Papio anubis (olive baboon), 303 nucleotides. It matches the Rfam family "Metazoan signal recognition particle RNA". Rfam says of the family: The signal recognition particle (SRP) is a universally conserved ribonucleoprotein. It is involved in the co-translational targeting of proteins to membranes. The eukaryotic SRP consists of a 300-nucleotide 7S RNA and six proteins: SRPs 72, 68, 54, 19, 14, and 9. NCBI's taxonomy places the organism in Eukaryota, Metazoa, Chordata, Mammalia, Primates, Cercopithecidae. The record is from Ensembl.
GCCAGGUGCAGUGGCAUGUGCCUAUAGUUCCAGUAACUUGGGAGGAUGAGGUGGAAGGAUCCCUUUAGCCUAGACGCUCUGGGCUUGUAGUGUGUUGUGCCGCCAAUCAGCUGUUCACAUUAAGUUCAGUAUCAAUAUAGUGACCUCCUGGGAGCGGGGGACCACCAGGUUACCUAAGGAGGAGAGAACUGGCCCAGGUCAGAAACAGAGCAAGUCAAAAUACAGGUGCUGAUCAGUCGCAAGAUAGUGCCUAUGAACAACCACUGCACUCCAGCCUGGGCAACAUAGCAAUACAUGUCUCUA